AAAUUGAAGAGUUUGAUCAUGGCUCAGAUUGAACGCUGGCGGCAGGCCUAACACAUGCAAGUCGAACGGUAACAGGAAGAAGCUUGCUUCUUUGCUGACGAGUGGCGGACGGGUGAGUAAUGUCUGGGAAACUGCCUGAUGGAGGGGGAUAACUACUGGAAACGGUAGCUAAUACCGCAUAACGUCGCAAGACCAAAGAGGGGGACCUUCGGGCCUCUUGCCAUCGGAUGUGCCCAGAUGGGAUUAGCUAGUAGGUGGGGUAACGGCUCACCUAGGCGACGAUCCCUAGCUGGUCUGAGAGGAUGACCAGCCACACUGGAACUGAGACACGGUCCAGACUCCUACGGGAGGCAGCAGUGGGGAAUAUUGCACAAUGGGCGCAAGCCUGAUGCAGCCAUGCCGCGUGUAUGAAGAAGGCCUUCGGGUUGUAAAGUACUUUCAGCGGGGAGGAAGGGAGUAAAGUUAAUACCUUUGCUCAUUGACGUUACCCGCAGAAGAAGCACCGGCUAACUCCGUGCCAGCAGCCGCGGUAAUACGGAGGGUGCAAGCGUUAAUCGGAAUUACUGGGCGUAAAGCGCACGCAGGCGGUUUGUUAAGUCAGAUGUGAAAUCCCCGGGCUCAACCUGGGAACUGCAUCUGAUACUGGCAAGCUUGAGUCUCGUAGAGGGGGGUAGAAUUCCAGGUGUAGCGGUGAAAUGCGUAGAGAUCUGGAGGAAUACCGGUGGCGAAGGCGGCCCCCUGGACGAAGACUGACGCUCAGGUGCGAAAGCGUGGGGAGCAAACAGGAUUAGAUACCCUGGUAGUCCACGCCGUAAACGAUGUCGACUUGGAGGUUGUGCCCUUGAGGCGUGGCUUCCGGAGCUAACGCGUUAAGUCGACCGCCUGGGGAGUACGGCCGCAAGGUUAAAACUCAAAUGAAUUGACGGGGGCCCGCACAAGCGGUGGAGCAUGUGGUUUAAUUCGAUGCAACGCGAAGAACCUUACCUGGUCUUGACAUCCACGGAAGUUUUCAGAGAUGAGAAUGUGCCUUCGGGAACCGUGAGACAGGUGCUGCAUGGCUGUCGUCAGCUCGUGUUGUGAAAUGUUGGGUUAAGUCCCGCAACGAGCGCAACCCUUAUCCUUUGUUGCCAGCGGUCCGGCCGGGAACUCAAAGGAGACUGCCAGUGAUAAACUGGAGGAAGGUGGGGAUGACGUCAAGUCAUCAUGGCCCUUACGACCAGGGCUACACACGUGCUACAAUGGCGCAUACAAAGAGAAGCGACCUCGCGAGAGCAAGCGGACCUCAUAAAGUGCGUCGUAGUCCGGAUUGGAGUCUGCAACUCGACUCCAUGAAGUCGGAAUCGCUAGUAAUCGUGGAUCAGAAUGCCACGGUGAAUACGUUCCCGGGCCUUGUACACACCGCCCGUCACACCAUGGGAGUGGGUUGCAAAAGAAGUAGGUAGCUUAACCUUCUGGAGGGCGCUUACCACUUUGUGAUUCAUGACUGGGGUGAAGUCGUAACAAGGUAACCGUAGGGGAACCUGCGGUUGGAUCACCUCCUUACCUUAAAGAAGC
RNAcentral lists this ribosomal RNA (1554 nucleotides) under Escherichia coli O157:H7. Its description in RNAcentral is "bacterial SSU rRNA". It matches the Rfam family "Bacterial small subunit ribosomal RNA". Lineage: Bacteria; Pseudomonadati; Pseudomonadota; Gammaproteobacteria; Enterobacterales; Enterobacteriaceae. The record is from RNAcentral.